Podarcis muralis (Common wall lizard) is the source of this 603-nucleotide non-coding RNA. The record is from RefSeq and is a predicted model, not a curated record. NCBI's taxonomy places the organism in Eukaryota, Metazoa, Chordata, Lepidosauria, Squamata, Lacertidae.
AAGCCUUGCUACUGGAUCAGCUUCCUCACAACUUCACCAGCCAUGGGCAGUUUUCUGAGGUGGAAGAUGGUUUAGACCAGGAGGACUCCGGAAUUGGAAAUCUAUGGCCUUCCAGAUACUGCUGUAUUACAGCUGCCAAAAUCUCUUAUCGUUGUCCAUGAUAACUAGGGUUGAUGGGAGCUGUAGUCCAACAAUGUCUAGAAGGCCACAGAUUCUCCAGCCCUGGUUUAAGUAGCAGCAGAAACUGUGAGUUAGAUACAUUCAGCUUUGAAUGUGGGAGGACUGAUGAGAGGCAGAUUUUUGGACAUGUGCAGUCUGCUGAAAUUCAAGGAUGCUAAAAGCCAACAAACACACAAUCUAUAUUUGGAAUUUGCCAAGGGUAGAGUUUCAUUUAAAGAAAGAACAAGGUUUCUCACGGUAUCCACUGUUCUCUGGAAGCCAGGGAAGAAUUUGCUCCUGACGCUCUGUGCAUAAAUGUAGCCUAUUUUCAGAGUGAUUUCUAUCAGUAGCUUUACCUCCCUACCCCCCAAUCCUGCAUUCAGUGGUGUCAGUGAAAAACAAAAUCUCAUACAAGUACUAUAAAUCUUGGAGACCUACUUUCCA